GUGGGGAAUAUUGGACAAUGGGCGAAAGCCUGAUCCAGCCAUGCCGCGUGUGUGAAGAAGGUCUUCGGAUUGUAAAGCACUUUAAGUUGGGAGGAAGGGCAGUAAGUUAAUACCUUGCUGUUUUGACGUUACCGACAGAAUAAGCACCGGCUAACUUCGUGCCAGCAGCCGCGGUAAUACGAAGGGUGCAAGCGUUAAUCGGAAUUACUGGGCGUAAAGCGCGCGUAGGUGGGUUUGUAAGUUGGAGGUGAAAUCCCCGGGCUCAACCUGGGAACUGCCUCCAAAACUGCAUGACUAGAGUACGGUAGAGGGUAGUGGAAUUUCCUGUGUAGCGGUGAAAUGCGUAGAUAUAGGAAGGAACACCAGUGGCGAAGGCGACUACCUGGACUGAUACUGACACUGAGGUGCGAAAGCGUGGGGAGCAAACAGGAUUAGAAACCCUGGUAGUCU
RNAcentral lists this ribosomal RNA (450 nucleotides) under uncultured bacterium. Its description in RNAcentral is "partial 16S ribosomal RNA". It matches the Rfam family "Bacterial small subunit ribosomal RNA", at positions 354 to 796 of the family's 1533-position model. The record is from RNAcentral.